AACGAACGCUGGCGGCAUGCCUAACACAUGCAAGUCGAACGAGACCUUCGGGUCUAGUGGCGCACGGGUGCGUAACGCGUGGGAACCUGCCCUUAGGUUCGGAAUAACUCAGAGAAAUUUGAGCUAAUACCGGAUAAUGUCUUCGGACCAAAGAUUUAUCGCCUUUGGAUGGGCCCGCGUAGGAUUAGCUUGUUGGUGGGGUAAUGGCCUACCAAGGCGACGAUCCUUAGCUGGUCUGAGAGGAUGAUCAGCCACACUGGGACUGAGACACGGCCCAGACUCCUACGGGAGGCAGCAGUGGGGAAUAUUGGACAAGGGGCGAAAGCCUGAUCCAGCAAUGCCGCGUGAGUGAUGAAGGCCUUAGGGUUGUAAAGCUCUUUUACCAGGGAUGAUAAUGACAGUACCUGGAGAAUAAGCGCCGGCUAACUCCGUG
This 433-nucleotide ribosomal RNA is filed under the name uncultured bacterium. RNAcentral's name for it is "partial 16S ribosomal RNA". It matches the Rfam family "Bacterial small subunit ribosomal RNA", at positions 29 to 507 of the family's 1533-position model. The record is from RNAcentral.